GGAUUGCCUCAGUAACGGCGAGUGAAGCGGCAAGAGCUCAAAUUUGAAAUCUGGCCCCUCCGGGGUCCGAGUUGUAAUUUGCAGAGGAUGCUUCGGGUGCAGCCCCCAUCUAAGUUCCCUGGAACGGGACGUCAUAGAGGGUGAGAAUCCCGUAUGGGAUGGGGUGUCUGCGUCCGUGUGAAGCUCCUUCGACGAGUCGAGUUGUUUGGGAAUGCAGCUCUAAAUGGGUGGUAAAUUUCAUCUAAAGCUAAAUAUUGGCCGGAGACCGAUAGCGCACAAGUAGAGUGAUCGAAAGAUGAAAAGCACUUUGAAAAGAGAGUUAAACAGCACGUGAAAUUGUUGAAAGGGAAGCGCUUGCGACCAGACUCGCCUACGGGGUUCAGCCGGCUUUCGGGCCGGUGUACUUCCCCGUGGGCGGGCCAGCGUCGGUUUGGGCGGCCGGUUAAAGGCCCCGGGAAUGUAGCGCCCUUCGGGGCGCCUUAUAGCCCGGGGUGCAAUGCGGCCUGCCUGGACCGAGGAACGCGCUUCGGCACGGACGCUGGCAUAAUGGUCGUAAGCGACCCGUCUUGAAACACGGACCAAGGAGUCUAACAUCUACGCGAGUGUUCGGGUGUCAAACCCGUGCGCGGAGUGAAAGCGAACGGAGGUGGGAGCCCCUUACGGGGCGCACCAUCGACCGAUCCUGAUGUCUUCGGAUGGAUUUGAGUAAGAGCGUAAAUGUGGGGACCCGAAAGAUGGUGAACUAUGCCUGAAUAGGGCGAAGCCAGAGGAAACUCUGGUGGAGGCUCGCAGCGGUUCUGACGUGCAAAUCGAUCGUCAAAUUUGGGUAUAGGGGCGAAAGACUAAUCGAACCAUCUGGUAGCUGGUUCCUGCCGAA
This 877-nucleotide ribosomal RNA is filed under the name Aspergillus gorakhpurensis. Its description in RNAcentral is "LSU rRNA". It matches the Rfam family "Eukaryotic large subunit ribosomal RNA", at positions 72 to 965 of the family's 3401-position model. The record is from RNAcentral. Lineage: Eukaryota; Fungi; Ascomycota; Eurotiomycetes; Eurotiales; Aspergillaceae.